AGCGAACGCUGGCGGCAGGCUUAACACAUGCAAGUCGAGCGGGCGUAGCAAUACGUCAGCGGCAGACGGGUGAGUAACGCGUGGGAACGUACCUUUUGGUUCGGAACAACACAGGGAAACUUGUGCUAAUACCGGAUAAGCCCUUACGGGGAAAGAUUUAUCGCCGAAAGAUCGGCCCGCGUCUGAUUAGCUAGUUGGUGAGGUAACGGCCCACCAAGGCGACGAUCAGUAGCUGGUCUGAGAGGAUGAUCAGCCACAUUGGGACUGAGACACGGCCCAAACUCCUACGGGAGGCAGCAGUGGGGAAUAUUGGACAAUGGGGGCAACCUUGAUCCAGCCAUGCCGCGUGAGUGAUGAAGGCCCUAGGGUUGUAAGGCUCUUUUGUGCGGGAAGAUAAUGGCGGUACCGCAAGAAUAAGCCCCGGCUAACUUCGUGCCAGCCGCCGCCGUAA
RNAcentral lists this ribosomal RNA (451 nucleotides) under uncultured bacterium. RNAcentral describes it as "partial 16S ribosomal RNA". It matches the Rfam family "Bacterial small subunit ribosomal RNA", at positions 29 to 523 of the family's 1533-position model. The record is from RNAcentral.